This 292-nucleotide ribosomal RNA is filed under the name uncultured bacterium. RNAcentral describes it as "partial 16S ribosomal RNA". It matches the Rfam family "Bacterial small subunit ribosomal RNA", at positions 505 to 796 of the family's 1533-position model. The record is from RNAcentral.
GUGUCAGCAGCCGCGGUAAUACGUAGGGUGCAAGCGUUAAUCGGAAUUACUGGGCGUAAAGCGUGCGUAGGCGGCUAUGUAAGACAGAUGUGAAAUCCCUGGGCUUAACCUAGGAACUGCAUUUGUGACUGCAUUGCUAGAGUGUGGUAGAGGGAGAUGGAAUUCCGCAUGUAGCAGUGAAAUGCGUAGAUAUGCGGAGGAACACCAAUGGCGAAGGCAAUCUCCUGGACCUGCACUGACGCUCAUGCACGAAAGCGUGGGGAGCAAACAGGAUUAGAUACCCUGGUAGUCC